Molecule: long non-coding RNA, 1453 nt
Filed under: Hordeum vulgare
Lineage: Eukaryota; Viridiplantae; Streptophyta; Magnoliopsida; Poales; Poaceae
Description: long non-coding RNA (HVUL_LNC004334)
Source: RNAcentral
AUGAACAAAGAAAUAUAAUAACAACUAAUUUAUUAUUGCCUCUAGGGCAUAUUUCCAACAGUGGCGUCGGGGGCUACAGUUGUGGCCAAAUCAGCCUCACCGGCCCCGCUACUCACUCGGCGACAUCAGUGGCAGAAAUGAACUCCACAUAAACCAUGGGCUGUCGAAACAUGGAGUUAUUGGGAUUGCUUGCAAACCCCAUGUACGACACACAUGCUCUUUGCGAGUAACCCGUCGCACAACCCAACGAUUUCCUUCCUCAACCACGAAAGCCUCCAUGGUCAUUUGUUUUCCAUCCAUCGCUGAACCAAACACCGCUCGGAUGCACCUUCUAACUGCCGCAUACCCUACAUUAACCAUGUCUCUCAGUACAACCAUAGUCAUCCCACACCUAGACACAUCCACACCAGAAGGACCGUCCCAUAUGAUGUCACCAUAGAACACUAACAAAUUUUCCACUGUACCUAACGAGCAGACAUAUUUACAUCGUUAGUCCAUUAAAAAUCAUAUUAUUAUAUGUAUAUUAUAAUAACAUCUAAUAAUAAUCAUUUUUUACAUAUAACAAUUUGACAAAUAUUCGCAAACGUCUGUACAUCUACGCAUAAUAAUUUAUAUUGUACCAUUUUUUGCGACAUUGCAUCUAGAAAAUAAAUACAAGAUAAAUUACAAUAUAUCAUUCAUACCUUUGGUUUAAUAAGGAUAUCCUUCCAAAUACAAAAUAAACGUGAGUAUGAACAUAUCACUAGUAAAAUAUCAACGAAUUCGACCUAUUAUCACAUGAACAAAAAAAUUACACACAUACUUUUUUCCUGCUGCCAAAAGUUUUAGAAUACAUAUUGCAUGCAUAAACAUAUCACCAGUCAUAUAUCUACAGCGUUGAUAAAUUAUCACAUAAAUAAAAAUAUUACACAUGUGUCUUGCACGUAAAAAAAUAAUAAUACUAAUAAAGUUAACAUAUUAUUACAUGUUUAACAAAAAUGCUAGUUACACACAAUGAUGCGUCUUGCAUGUAAAAUUACUACACAAAAUGAUACAUUACAGUCUAAAUAAACAGAAAAUACAUACUUAGAAAACUAAUCAAAUAGAGUAAAAUUUUCAUGCAUGCGAACAAAACCUACGAAAAUGAUUUAAUCUUACCUUGAUCUAUCUUUUUUUCAACUACACCAUAUUCGAAAUCCAACCCUAAAGACCAGAAAUCUUGAAUCAAAGUGAAGAGAGGAGUGUGUUCUCCAGCUAGAGAUGAGAGAAAAGAGAAAGAGAAGAGAGAUGCCCGGUGGGAGCGGGCGAGCAGCUAAUAAGAAACGAAACCGGUCACUGUUUCGUCGAUGGAGACACAUGAGAAUCAACGCCGUCAGCGUGAAACUGUGUGCGGUCAGGCACAGUGCCGGUCGCCUCACACGGUGGCAGCAGGGCCCGGCAACUGCAGCCCAUUUCAUCGCGGUGUGGCUGAAAC